AUACUCGGGGAUAGCCUUUCGAAAGAAAGAUUAAUACCCGAUGGUAUAAUCAGACCGCAUGGUUUGAUUAUUAAAGAAUUUCGGUUAUCGAUGGGGAUGCGUUCCAUUAGGCAGUUGGUGAGGUAACGGCUCACCAAACCUUCGAUGGAUAGGGGUUCUGAGAGGAAGGUCCCCCACAUUGGAACUGAGACACGGUCCAA
Molecule: ribosomal RNA, 200 nt
Filed under: uncultured bacterium
Lineage: Bacteria
Description: partial 16S ribosomal RNA
Rfam family: Bacterial small subunit ribosomal RNA
Source: RNAcentral